Molecule: long non-coding RNA, 1285 nt
Organism: Manis pentadactyla (Chinese pangolin)
Lineage: Eukaryota; Metazoa; Chordata; Mammalia; Pholidota; Manidae
Exons: 3
Source: RefSeq, a predicted model, not a curated record
UCCAUUAUCAGUGGCCAUCCAGCAGCUGCCGUUUGGCACCUUCAGCCCUUCCCUUCAUUUUGAAGACAAUGCUUCCCUUGCUGUGGUUGAGUCCAUGAAACCCGUGUGAACCUGGGGUCCUCAAGGCACCGGGGGACGUGCACAGCAGCGCCCAGAGGCACUGCCAGGAUCGCCUCCUGCUGACUGCACCCUCCCCUUCAGCCCCUCCAGCAUGUGGUCUGGGGCCCUAGGAAGCUCGAACCUGCUUAAGAAGUGCCAAUCACCUUUACAGUCAGGAGAACUGGUCUGAUGUCUGCCCAUCACAAGAUUUCUGAGACUGGGAACCUUCUUAACUGUGUGAAUCCUCAGUUUCGUCAUAUGUAAGGAAGCCAAGGAAAAUUGGAAUUGAAGAACUUGCUGAGGGACAACAGAACAAGAAAAGUAUGGGGCCUCUUGGAAGCAAAAUGACUCCAAUAGUGUGAAAACCCUCAGUUCAGUGCAAACAUGUGGUAGGAGAAGACUUGGAAAGGGAGAAGCAGUGCAGCAUGUCCUUAAAAGCUUUCCAUGAAUUAACCCACCUGGUCGUCACAGCAAGCUUUCCAGGCAAGUGGUACUAUUAUCUUGCUUCACAGAUGAAGAAACUGAGGCACAGAGAAAUGAGCUUGCCAAGGUCACACAAUGAGAGGAUGAGGAUUCAAACUGUCAUCUAGCUGCAGAGCCCGUGUGCAUAUUAUGUUGCCUCUCACCAAGUCCUGAUAUCCCUCCACCCCAGUUCAUUAGUUAAAUCACAGAAAAAAUGGGGAGGAAAUAGAAUGUUCAGGUAGCUCAGAAAAGGAUGGAAACCUGGGAUGCAGUGGGACGGGGUGAACCAGUCCUUCCUGCUUUACCUUCCUGAUGUGGGAGAGACUUAUGAACAAAUUACACGUUUUAGAUCAUUCAUUCAUUUAUCUAUUUAUUCAUUCAUUCAUAAAUAACUACUCUCAAGCUUCCUUCUUGCUAACUGGAAAGGGGGCGUAGGCAUUACAAAACAACUAUUAUUUUAAUGAGCACCUCAUAUAAUCCUCACAGAAUCAGGUGUUACUAUUACCAUUUUGUUGAAGAAGCUUGAGGCUCUGCAAAAUCCAUUCCCGAUUAUCAUAAAACUUGUAUGUGGUGCAGCCAAGAAGUGAGGCCAGAACUGGAGCCAGGAACUGACUCCAAUGUCCACAUACUUACCCCUUUCCCCAGGGAAAGGGGGAGGCAAUAAGAGGGGGAGGGAGCUUGGGGUCAGACUGAUCUUCAGGAUUGCCUGUGCUCUACACAUGCA